Long non-coding RNA from Ipomoea nil (Japanese morning glory), 270 nucleotides. RefSeq lists it as uncharacterized. The record is from RefSeq and is a predicted model, not a curated record. Lineage: Eukaryota; Viridiplantae; Streptophyta; Magnoliopsida; Solanales; Convolvulaceae. The transcript has 2 exons.
CAUAAUAAAUAUCCGGAAUAUGUUCAACCUCGUACACCAUAAAUUUUAUUUAAUACUAACAAAUAUCCAAACUACUGAGAUUGUGAUGUACCAUCAAAUAGAAUGUCAUGUUUAGAAAAGUAAAAAGGAAACAAUAUACCUGAAGAAUGAUCUCUGGUGUCAAGUUAAAGGUAAUCCUAUUUGGCUGAAUAAACAACAAAGAUAAGUAGUGUCACAAACUCUGCAUAAGAAUAUGAAAGGACAGACAAAACAGGUAAGAAUAACAUAUUU